AGGAUCAUUACAAAUAUCUGGGAUGUUCGUCAUAACUCCCAAGNAAACACAUUGAUGUGUACCCUUCCAUGUUGCUUCCCCAGANNAGUGGCCACUGCUGCCAGCCCAGUUCAUAAUUUGGACUUUCGGGUUGAGGUGUCUGGGGAAGGACUCAUUGUUAAACCUUUAACCAAAUUAGUUGUCUGAGAGGGCCAUCGGUCCUAAUAUUUAAAGUAUAUUAAAACUUUCAACAACGGAUCUCUUGGCUCUCGCAUCGAUGAAGAACGCAGCGAAAUGCGAUAAGUAAUGUGAAUUGCAGAAUUCAGUGAAUCAUCGAAUCUUUGAACGCACAUUGCGCCCUUUGGUAUUCCUUAGGGCAUGCCUGUUCGAGCGUCACUAAAAACAACCUCACAUAUAAUGUGGUAUUGGUAGAAGUGGGUGAUACUGAUAGUACUUUAUCCUACUCUACUGAAAUCAAUAGGUCAGAAAAGUUGACCAUGGUAACAGACUCUCAGAGUGUUUUAGAAAUACUAAACUAGUCUUAACCAGGUUGGAAUCUGAGUCACUGGACCCCCAUUUAGUCCAAACAAUAAAGGUUGACCUCGGAUCAGGUAGGGAUACCCGCUGAACUUAAGCAUAUCAAUAAGCGGAGG
RNAcentral lists this ribosomal RNA (632 nucleotides) under uncultured Tuberaceae. RNAcentral's name for it is "eukaryotic LSU rRNA". The stretch from base 222 to 375 matches the Rfam family "5.8S ribosomal RNA". Lineage: Eukaryota; Fungi; Ascomycota; Pezizomycetes; Pezizales; Tuberaceae. The record is from RNAcentral.